UGGUAAAGUAGAUAAUUGGCAUUUUUCAA
This 29-nucleotide non-coding RNA is filed under the name Mus musculus (house mouse). The record is from RNAcentral. Lineage: Eukaryota; Metazoa; Chordata; Mammalia; Rodentia; Muridae.